AGAAGACAUAAAGAUUAGACACUUAGCAGGAAGCAGGAAGAACACGGUGAAUGUAUCACCUCACCUAGAACCAGUUCAGCAAGCUGACGUCCUCUGACCCGCAGCAAAUGUUUGCUUUUAAAAUGAACGCCGUCAUCACGACGCAUGAAGCCGAACUGAUGUAUCCAGAUCCUGCUUGAUGGACGAACGAACGGAUGGAUGGACGGAUGUAGAGAUGGAUGUGUGGAGAAGACAUAUGACUAAUGAUAUCAUCCUACUGCAGAGCCACGAACGGUCCAUCACUCCGAUCAAGUACAACCGAGAAGGAGACCUAUUUUCCGUCGCUAAAGAUCCAGUGGCCAACUUAUGAAUCAGUAUCUACAACGGACACAUGGGAGCUGUGCGAUGUGUCGACUGUGACUGGGACACCAAAUAUGUUUUGACAGGAUCAGCUGACAACAACUGUCAACUGUGGGACUGUGAGACUGGUUCGAUUUUAGCGGCAACAUCAUGUUUUCCCCGGACGAGCAGCUGGGCUGUCAGUGUUUCAUGAACUCAGUCGACCUGAGGGAUCCACAGAUCGAGAAGUCCUGAAGAAAGCUAAGGAGCACAGCAGGCACAUCAACACCAUCCAGACGUCUGUAGACCUCACCAUGUUCAUCAGUGCCUCAAUGGACAACACCACCAAGGUUCGCCACGCUGCGUACGAGGAGGAGUUUGGUAGAGUCAAAAGUCAUUUUGGUCCCAUCAACUGUGUGGCUUUCCACCCUUACGCAGUGGCGGAGAAGAUGGACAUGUGAGGUGGAGGCCUAAAGUGUUAGGCCUGUGGACACUGCCAAGUAGAGUGAAGGAGCAACUUUAUUUGAAGCAGAUCACUUGUUUGCUGGACUUAUACUGGAGGAGAAGAUGGAUAUGUGAGGUGGACACAGCAGCUUGGACUCUGCCAAGUAGAGUGAAGGAGCAACUUUAUUUGAAGCAGAUCACUUUUGCUGGACUUGUGAGUGUUUUACUGGAACUUUUUGGCCUUUGCACUUUCAUUGACAAAUAUUUAACAUUCACUUUUUCAGAGAAAAAAGUUUUUAUUUUACUUAGUUUUUUUUUUUGGCCAUUGUACUUUCAUUGUGAUCUGUAUUUGAUUGUUGUAAAUCUUCCAGAAUAAAGAAAGUUGUUGUUGAA
Molecule: long non-coding RNA, 1155 nt
Organism: Cynoglossus semilaevis (tongue sole)
Lineage: Eukaryota; Metazoa; Chordata; Actinopteri; Pleuronectiformes; Cynoglossidae
Exons: 10
Source: RefSeq, a predicted model, not a curated record